GGGGAGAUACUCAAGCGGCCAACGAGGACAGACUGUAAAUCUGUUGGUUUUUACCUUCGAAGGUUCGAAUCCUUCUCUCCCCACUA
RNAcentral lists this transfer RNA (86 nucleotides) under Apibacter adventoris. RNAcentral's name for it is "tRNA-Tyr". It matches the Rfam family "tRNA". From Rfam's summary of the family: Transfer RNA (tRNA) molecules are approximately 80 nucleotides in length. Their secondary structure includes four short double-helical elements and three loops (D, anti-codon, and T loops). Further hydrogen bonds mediate the characteristic L-shaped molecular structure. tRNAs have two regions of fundamental functional importance: the anti-codon, which is responsible for specific mRNA codon recognition, and the 3' end, to which the tRNAs corresponding amino acid is attached (by aminoacyl-tRNA synthetases). tRNAs cope with the degeneracy of the genetic code in two manners: having more than one tRNA (with a specific anti-codon) for a particular amino acid; and 'wobble' base-pairing, i.e. permitting non-standard base-pairing at the 3rd anti-codon position. Lineage: Bacteria; Pseudomonadati; Bacteroidota; Flavobacteriia; Flavobacteriales; Weeksellaceae. The record is from RNAcentral.